CCUCUUUCUCUUCACAAAUUCAACUCACAAACUCCCCAAUUCCAUUUCAAAUCCCCAACUCCCAAUUCACUUCUUCUUCUCAAAUUCAUAAUUCUCAAAUCUAAACUCAACGGCACCUCUUCUCUCUCUCACCGAUUUCUUCCGUCGCAACAGUCAACCGUCAGCUCUGGAACGACGACGAGCUGGUGUCGUCGCUGUCACGCGGCCAGCUCCGCCGCCUUUUCUCCCUACUACCGGAGCAACAUCUGCUUCGACGGUGGUUCACGGCGUCUGGUCGACGCCGGCCCGUUCAUCCGUUCAUCGGCUCACCGUUGCCUCGCAUUCAGCGCUGCCCGGAAAAAGGAGGCAUCGCCUCCCUCCGUUUUCUCUCUCGGCUACUACACAGCGGUGCAGUACUGUUGCCCUUUCCGCCGUUGCCGCGCUGCUGAGACCUCGCCGGCAGCCUCCGCCGGCGUGCUUGAUGCCGCCACCGCUCGUGAGCCACGCCGCUUCGUCGGGCAGUAGCUAAGUGCUUAACCUCUCUUCCUUAGUUUCCUUUAUUUUCUUAAGUUAAGGGGUGAGUUGGGAGGCAGUAGUACACUUAUUUGGAUUGGGGUUUGCUUAUUAUGUAAAGUUAGCACCUUUCUUUUGAACUCACUGUCUGCUGUCAAAAGUUGCAGUGGUAUAUCUGUUGUGAUGUUGAGGGAGCUUUAAGUUUCAUUCUAAAAUGAGCAUGCUUGGGCAGAUUGUGGUUUAAGUUUUAUACUUCUACGGAUAAAACAUGAAAGGUGUGGACUGUGGAGGGAAGAGGAGAGUGCAGGCUGCCUUUGCCUCUUUUGGCAUGCUGUCUUUCUAUCAAACUUGUGAUGGGAAGAAAAGCUGCUCAUAAGUUGACUGAUUUUGAACAUAAGCUGCUCAUAAGUUGACUGAUUUUGAACAUAGGGGGAGCUAAGGGUUUGGGCCUAAAGAGGAAACCCAAGAAUGCAACUAUACAGCAAUAUAAUUCCUUAAGCUCUUGGCCCACACUUGUGAAUUUUGUAAUAGCAUCCAUAAAUCCUUUUUCUUAAACUCAUAAAUCCACAUGUAUUUAACCAUGUAAGUUAAUGGAUUGUUUUAGAUGUAUGCGAACACUUUCUCGCUUGGGAAUGAGAUCUUCGUAUUCUUUCUUGGCG
Salvia hispanica is the source of this 1151-nucleotide long non-coding RNA. RefSeq lists it as uncharacterized. NCBI's taxonomy places the organism in Eukaryota, Viridiplantae, Streptophyta, Magnoliopsida, Lamiales, Lamiaceae. The record is from RefSeq and is a predicted model, not a curated record.